This 785-nucleotide ribosomal RNA is filed under the name uncultured bacterium. RNAcentral describes it as "bacterial SSU rRNA". It matches the Rfam family "Bacterial small subunit ribosomal RNA", at positions 557 to 1342 of the family's 1533-position model. The record is from RNAcentral.
GGCGUAAAGAGCUCGUAGGCGGUUUGUCGCGUCUGCUGUGAAAACUGGAGGCUCAACCUCCAGCCUGCAGUGGGUACGGGCAGACUAGAGUGCGGUAGGGGAGAUUGGAAUUCCUGGUGUAGCGGUGGAAUGCGCAGAUAUCAGGAGGAACACCGAUGGCGAAGGCAGAUCUCUGGGCCGUAACUGACGCUGAGGAGCGAAAGCAUGGGGAGCGAACAGGAUUAGAUACCCUGGUAGUCCAUGCCGUAAACGUUGGGAACUAGAUGUAGGGACCAUUCCACGGUUUCUGUGUCGCAGCUAACGCAUUAAGUUCCCCGCCUGGGGAGUACGGCCGCAAGGCUAAAACUCAAAGGAAUUGACGGGGGCCCGCACAAGCGGCGGAGCAUGCGGAUUAAUUCGAUGCAACGCGAAGAACCUUACCAAGGCUUGACAUAUACCGGAAAAGUUCAGAAAUGUUCUCCCCGCAAGGUCGGUAUACAGGUGGUGCAUGGUUGUCGUCAGCUCGUGUCGUGAGAUGUUGGGUUAAGUCCCGCAACGAGCGCAACCCUCGUUCUAUGUUGCCAGCACGUAAUGGUGGGAACUCAUAGGAGACUGCCGUGGUCAACACGGAGGAAGGUGGGGAUGACGUCAAAUCAUCAUGCCCCUUAUGUCUUGGGCUUCACGCAUGCUACAAUGGCCGAUACAAAGGGCUGCAAUACCGUAAGGUGGAGCGAAUCCCAAAAAGUCGGUCUCAGUUCGGAUUGAGGUCUGCAACUCGACCUCAUGAAGUCGGAGUCGCUAGUAAU